UACGGGGGGGGCAAGCGUUGUUCGGAAUUACUGGGCGUAAAGGGCUCGUAGGCGGCCAACUAAGUCAGACGUGAAAUCCCUCGGCUUAACCGGGGAACUGCGUCUGAUACUAGAUGGCUUGAGGUUGGGAGAGGGAUGCGGAAUUCCAGGUGUAGCGGUGAAAUGCGUAGAUAUCUGGAGGAACACCGGUGGCGAAGGCGGCAUCCUGGACCAAUUCUGACGCUGAGGAGCGAAAGCCAGGGGAGCAAACGGG
Molecule: ribosomal RNA, 253 nt
Filed under: uncultured bacterium
Lineage: Bacteria
Description: partial 16S ribosomal RNA
Rfam family: Bacterial small subunit ribosomal RNA
Source: RNAcentral